CUACGGGAGGCUGCAGUUAGGGAUAUUCGGCAAUGGGGGAAACCCUGACCGAGCAAUGCCGCGUGAAUGAAGAAGUAUUUCGAUAUGUAAAGUUCUGUUGUUAAGGAAGAAAGGUACGAAUAGGAAAUGAUUCGUAAUUGACGGUACUUAACCAGAAAGCCCCUGCUAACUACGUGCCAGCAGCAGCGGUAAUACGUAGGGGGCGAGCGUUAUCCGGAAUUAUUGGGCGUAAAGGGUGCGUAGGCGGCCUGUCAAGUCCGAGUUGAAAGCCCACGGCUUAACCGUGGAGGGUGCUCGGAAACUGAUAGGCUUGAAUCCAGAAGAGGCAAGUGGAAUUCUAUGUGGAGCGGUGGAAUGCGUAGAUAUAAGGAGGAACACCAGUGGCGAAGGCGGCUUGCUGGGCUGGUAUUGACGCUGAUGCACGAAAGCGUGGGGAGCAAACAGGAUUAGAUACCCCCGUAGUC
This 464-nucleotide ribosomal RNA is filed under the name uncultured bacterium. RNAcentral's name for it is "partial 16S ribosomal RNA". It matches the Rfam family "Bacterial small subunit ribosomal RNA", at positions 339 to 795 of the family's 1533-position model. The record is from RNAcentral.